GCCUCAGUAGCUCAGUUGGUUAGAGCAUAGUACUGAUAAUGCCAAGGUUGCAGGUUCAGGCCCCACGUGGGAUA
Podarcis lilfordi (Lilford's wall lizard) is the source of this 74-nucleotide non-coding RNA. The record is from the annotation of a GenBank genome assembly. Lineage: Eukaryota; Metazoa; Chordata; Lepidosauria; Squamata; Lacertidae.